CAAUUUCCAAAUUGCUUUCGACAGUUGUUCAUGAAUUAGAUUAAAGGCGAGCUCGAAUGUUGUCUAAAGUUACAUGCGGUUCAAACGUAAAGCAUACUUUAUUUCAAUGAGGAGAAAAACAAACAUAACUUUGAUAUCCAUUUUUUCCGAUGAAAAUAAUGGAGAAGAUAAUGGCAGAUUUGGAAAACAAUACAAUGAAGAAAAAGAAUGAAAAAGAAAAAUCAAUUUAAGAAUAGAUUUGAUUGAAAAUUCCGACCACCAUUGAAGGAACUUUUGAGGAAAUGAUGGAAGCUUGUUUCAUAUUUCAAUAAAGAAGAUAUGCCCUGAGGAGGAUGAGGUGUGGUUGUUUCCGUGGAAACAAAAAGAAGGGGUGUGUUGGGGAAGAAGAUCUGGAAGGGCGAGGGGAGGGGGCGUUAAAAGAUUUUAAAAUAAUUUUUUCGUUAACAAAAAUUGAAAAUGCCACAUGUAAUUAUUGUAGUUGUUGCUUGCCAGUGAGAGAGCUCUUUAUUUGUUCUCCUCGUUGUCAAAAAAUGGUCAAAGCACUACUUGAAAUGUUUAAAAUGAG
RNAcentral lists this long non-coding RNA (565 nucleotides) under Capsicum annuum. RNAcentral's name for it is "long non-coding RNA (CANN_LNC016275)". The record is from RNAcentral. Lineage: Eukaryota; Viridiplantae; Streptophyta; Magnoliopsida; Solanales; Solanaceae.